GAUGAACGCUGGCGGCGUGCCUAAUACAUGCAAGUCGAGCGAACAGACGAGGAGCUUGCUCCUCUGACGUUAGCGGCGGACGGGUGAGUAACACGUGGAUAACCUACCUAUAAGACUGGGAUAACUUCGGGAAACCGGAGCUAAUACCGGAUAAUAUAUUGAGCCGCAUGGUUCAAUAGUGAAAGACGGUUUUGCUGUCACUUGUAGAUGGAUCCGCGCCGCAUUAGCUAGUUGGUAAGGUAACGGCUUACCAAGGCAACGAUGCGUAGCCGACCUGAGAGGGUGAUCGGCCACACUGGAACUGAGACACGGUCCAGACUCCUACGGGAGGCAGCAGUAGGGAAUCUUCCGCAAUGGGCGAAAGCCUGACGGAGCAACGCCGCGUGAGUGAUGAAGGUCUUCGGAUCGUAAAACUCUGUUAUUAGGGAAGAACAAAUGUGUAAGUAACUAUGCACGUCUUGACGGUACCUAAUCAGAAAGCCACGGCUAACUACGUG
RNAcentral lists this ribosomal RNA (497 nucleotides) under uncultured bacterium. Its description in RNAcentral is "partial 16S ribosomal RNA". It matches the Rfam family "Bacterial small subunit ribosomal RNA", at positions 28 to 507 of the family's 1533-position model. The record is from RNAcentral.